Molecule: ribosomal RNA, 420 nt
Filed under: bacterium
Lineage: Bacteria
Description: partial 16S ribosomal RNA
Rfam family: Bacterial small subunit ribosomal RNA
Source: RNAcentral
UGGGGGAUAUUGCACAAUGGGCGAAAGCCUGAUGCAGCGACGCCGCGUGGGGGAUGAAGGCUUUCGGGUUGUAAACCUCUUUCGCUAUCGAACAAGGCCCGCUUAGGGUGGGUUGAGGGUAGGUGGAGAAGAAGCACCGGCUAACUACGUGCCAGCAGCCGCGGUAAUACGUAGGGCGCGAGCGUUGUCCGGAAUUAUUGGGCGUAAAGGGCUUGUAGGCGGCUUGUUGCGCCUGCUGUGAAAACGCGGGGCUUAACUUCGCGCGUGCAGUGGGUACGGGCAGGCUUGAGUGUGGUAGGGGUGACUGGAAUUCCAGGUGUAGCGGUGGAAUGCGCAGAUAUCUGGAGGAACACCGAUGGCGAAGGCAGGUCACUGGGCCAUUACUGACGCUGAGGAGCGAAAGCAUGUGUAGCGAACAGG